RNAcentral lists this transfer RNA (91 nucleotides) under Planctomycetota bacterium. Its description in RNAcentral is "tRNA-Ser". It matches the Rfam family "tRNA". Rfam says of the family: Transfer RNA (tRNA) molecules are approximately 80 nucleotides in length. Their secondary structure includes four short double-helical elements and three loops (D, anti-codon, and T loops). Lineage: Bacteria; Pseudomonadati; Planctomycetota. The record is from RNAcentral.
GGAGGGAUGGCCGAGCGGUCGAAGGCACCGGUUUUGAAAACCGGCGUGGGCUCAACACCCACCGUGGGUUCGAAUCCCACUCCCUCCGCCA